This 301-nucleotide ribosomal RNA is filed under the name uncultured bacterium. RNAcentral's name for it is "partial 16S ribosomal RNA". It matches the Rfam family "Bacterial small subunit ribosomal RNA", at positions 509 to 807 of the family's 1533-position model. The record is from RNAcentral.
CAGUAGCCACGGGAAUACGAGGGGGGCAAGCGUUGUUCGGAAUUAUUGGGCGUAAAGGGCGCGUAGGCGGUUUGGCAAGUUUGGUGUGAAAUCUUCGGGCUCAACUCGAAGUCUGCAUCGAAAACUGCCGGGCUUGAGUAUGGGAGAGGUGAGUGGAAUUUCCGGUGUAGCGGUGAAAUGCGUAGAUAUCGGAAGGAACACCUGUGGCGAAAGCGGCUCACUGGACCAUUACUGACGCUGAGGCGCGAAAGCUAGGGGAGCAAACAGGAUUAGAUACCCCAGUAGUCCCUGUCUCUUAUAC